Molecule: long non-coding RNA, 1337 nt
Organism: Gymnogyps californianus (California condor)
Lineage: Eukaryota; Metazoa; Chordata; Aves; Accipitriformes; Cathartidae
Exons: 5
Source: RefSeq, a predicted model, not a curated record
UUAGCGUGCAAGUCAAUGAGCACCGUUCAGUAGGACAAAAGGGAGAACGGGAUGGAGUAAAGGAUAAACAAGGCAUGUACACGAGGCACCUGGGAAAACACUAUUUACAGUCUCAUGGGACGUCUCUGGGAUCAGAUAUACUGAGCUAACAGAAGACCCGAAUUGGCUCAUGAACUCAAGGACAACAACAUGCUACAAUGACGGCAGUGAGUUCUUUUGUUUGGAUUCCUGCAAACAGAGGAAAACAGGACACAAAACCAGACCAGCCAGCAGGUACCCAGUGAUGGCAGUCUACCCUCGCUAAGGAAGAAUAUAUCCGAGCACGAAGCACUGUGCAAGAGCAACAGAUGGACAGAGAAAAAUAAAAGGAGACUCAAUGGAAGGAAAGCUCUUUUGUCUUUGCUCGAGUUCAGCUUCAGUGAAGGCGGCGGGGCCCCAGUUUGUGAUUAAGUGAGGAUUCUUGGAGCCUGGAAGACAGAGUGCAAUACUUGAAACAGGUGUUUCUGACAGCGACAUCACUCACCCACCGUCAGUGGGACAGGCCGAGUGUCGCCACAGGACGAUUUGGCAAGUCCUCCCUUGGCAGCAGUGUAUUUCACACGCAUAUCUGGAUGAUGGCACCGCAACAGCACAGGAUGGAUAAAGGGGUGGAAAUCAGCUAAGGAGGUUGGCUUUGCUAAGAGAAGAGCAACUAUAACAAAAAGCAACGGUAGGAGAUAGAAGAAGGUGAGGGCAUGCUGCCUGUCCACAGUCACAGUCACCCAGAUCCUCACGAUCCCCCUUUCGCUGACCAGAGUGGGAAACCAGGGGUGCUGCGGCACCAGAGCCAUCCUCCCACUCAGCCCAUCACUCUGCUGGGGACAACAGCAGUCAGCUGGCUUUGAACUGAAGCGAGAUAAAGCACCAAAACCUCAGCAUUUAGCAAUACAUAACAUGUACUUCACAGAAGGUAAGCACAGCUCCCGAAGUCAGCAAGAAAGGCUUGCUGUCAAGUCUGGUAGGAUGGCAUGUCCUGCUCCACUGGUCUGCAGUCUGCUUUCCCUCAGCUAACCGAAAUCCCACUGACCCAGAAAAGUGAUCGUAUUCAGGAAUUCACACUAAGCCCAUAAAGCAGGACUGUGUGCAUUUAUGUUCCAAGAUGUUCCAUCACAUCAACUUGACUAUUUCUACUUUUUUCCUCCAGCUAACAGAAAAACCUGUUAUGCCUGACAAAGCCCUUGAAGACUGAAAAUUAGUUCUUUUGGAAAUUCUCAGUGUGGAUUAUAGUAACAGCAUUGUAAAGCUACAAUAUUUCUUUAAUUUUUUUAUGUUUGUGUAUAAAUGUAAAAGAACACACA